This 75-nucleotide microRNA precursor is filed under the name Anisakis simplex (herring worm). Its description in RNAcentral is "mir-87 microRNA precursor family". It matches the Rfam family "mir-87 microRNA precursor family". Lineage: Eukaryota; Metazoa; Nematoda; Chromadorea; Rhabditida; Anisakidae. The record is from Rfam by way of RNAcentral.
GUCCAUUCCGCCUGACACUACGUCUCAACCUCUGAAAUGUCGAGCAGGUGAGCAAAGUCUCAGGUGUUGUGGCCA